GACGAACGCUGGCGGCGUGCUUAACACAUGUAAGUCGAACGGAAAGGCCCUGCUUUGGUGGGGUGCUCGAGUGGCGAACGGGUGAGUAACACGUGAGUAACCUGCCCUUGACUUUGGGAUAACUUCAGGAACCUGGGGCUAAUACCGGAUAGGAGCUCCUGCUGCAUGGUGGGGGUUGGAAAGUUUCGGCGGUGGGGGAUGGACUGGCGGCUUAUCAGCUUGUUGGUUGGGUAGUGGCAUACCAAGGCAUCGAAGGGUAGCCGGCCUGAGAGGGUGACCAGCCACAUGGGGACUGAGAUACGGCCCAGAGUCCUACGGGAGGCAGCAGUGGGGAAUAUGGCACAAUGGGCGGAAGCCUGAUGCAGCAACGCCGCGUGCGGGAUGACGGCCUUCGGGUUGUAAACCGCUUUCGCCUGUGACGAAGCGUGAGUGACGGUAAUGGGUAAAGAAGCACCGGCUAACUACGUG
Molecule: ribosomal RNA, 468 nt
Filed under: uncultured bacterium
Lineage: Bacteria
Description: partial 16S ribosomal RNA
Rfam family: Bacterial small subunit ribosomal RNA
Source: RNAcentral